Molecule: ribosomal RNA, 136 nt
Filed under: Staphylococcus coagulans
Lineage: Bacteria; Bacillati; Bacillota; Bacilli; Caryophanales; Staphylococcaceae
Description: Staphylococcus schleiferi subsp. coagulans partial 23S ribosomal RNA
Rfam family: Bacterial large subunit ribosomal RNA
Source: RNAcentral
AUAAAAGAUUAAGUUAUUAAGGGCGCACGGUGGAUGCCUUGGCACUAGAAGCCGAUGAAGGACGUUACUAACGACGAUAUGCUUUGGGGAGCUGUAAGUAAGCUUUGAUCCAGAGAUUUCCGAAUGGGGGAACCCA